This 253-nucleotide ribosomal RNA is filed under the name uncultured bacterium. RNAcentral's name for it is "partial 16S ribosomal RNA". It matches the Rfam family "Bacterial small subunit ribosomal RNA", at positions 524 to 776 of the family's 1533-position model. The record is from RNAcentral.
UACGUAGGGUGCAAGCGUUAAUCGGAAUUACUGGGCGUAAAGCGUGCGCAGGCGGUUGUGCAAGACAGAUGUGAAAUCCCCGGGCUUAACCUGGGAAUUGCAUUUGUGACUGCACGGCUAGAGUGUGUCAGAGGGGGGUAGAAUUCCACGUGUAGCAGUGAAAUGCGUAGAUAUGUGGAGGAAUACCGAUGGCGAAGGCAGCCCCCUGGGCCUGCACUGACGCUCAUGCACGAAAGCGUGGGGAGCAAACAGG